Molecule: ribosomal RNA, 120 nt
Filed under: Escherichia coli
Lineage: Bacteria; Pseudomonadati; Pseudomonadota; Gammaproteobacteria; Enterobacterales; Enterobacteriaceae
Also listed under: 36 other names
Source: RNAcentral
UGCCUGGCGGCAGUAGCGCGGUGGUCCCACCUGACCCCAUGCCGAACUCAGAAGUGAAACGCCGUAGCGCCGAUGGUAGUGUGGGGUCUCCCCAUGCGAGAGUAGGGAACUGCCAGGCAU